RNAcentral lists this transfer RNA (88 nucleotides) under Hoyosella altamirensis. Its description in RNAcentral is "tRNA-Met". The record is from RNAcentral. Lineage: Bacteria; Bacillati; Actinomycetota; Actinomycetes; Mycobacteriales; Hoyosellaceae.
AACAAAGUCAGGCAUCCACGUACACGCCUGAACAGUGUGUUGCGGACUCAUAAUCCGCUGGUCGCGGGUUCGAGCCCCGCCCGCCCCA